AUGGCUGAGCACGUCGGGAAUGUCCACCGGGUAUCUGUGGAUGGACGUCGCCCACGGCCCAUCGGUGUUGCGCGCGGGCUGGAUGCACUCCCACGCCGCGCCGUUGCACUUGAACCCGGACCCGAAGCCGAUCAUCCACACGCGGUCGCCCUUGCGCAUGCGGCCCUUGGCCUCGAUGUACCCCAGCUCGUACCACAGCGAGCUGCUCGACGUGUUCCCAAACUUGUGCAGCGUCAUCCGCGACGCCUCCACCUGCUCGUCGGACAACCCGAGGUUCUUCUGCAGCUCGUCGAUGAUUGCGCGCCCGCCGGCGUGGAUGCAGAAAUGCUCGAACGCCGUGCGGAAGUCGGGGAUGUACGGCUUCACCCGCCUGUUGAUCACCUUCCGCGCGACGAAGGAGAAGGCGAACUUGAGCUGCUCGCUGGCCGGCAGGACGAGCGGCCCCAUCGCGGUGAUGUUGGCCUUGAGCGCGUCGCCGGCGAUGUUCAUCAGGUCCUUGCUGAGGUUGAUCCCCCGGUGACCCUCCCCGUCCUCCUCCUGGAACACGCACCGGUACGCGUUGUCCUGUGCGCCGGUGAGCGUGCGGAUGAGGUGCUUCAGGCGGAACCGGGCCUUCGCCGGGGACGUCGACAGCAGCGCGGCCGCCCCGCCGAUGCGGAAGAGGCAGUUGGGCAGGAGCAUUGCGCGCUCGGUGCCGAGGUAGUAGUUGGGCGUGAUGGUCUCCGUGGAGACCACGAGCGCGUGCGCGCUGUGGGGGGCCACCUGCAGCAGGUUCCUCGCGAGCCCCACGGCGGUGAGCCCCGCGCUGCACCCCAUGCCGGAGAGGUGCAUGCUGCGGAUGUCGCUCCGCAGCUUGUACUUGUUCACGAUCAUGUCGACCAGGGACGGCGUGGGGCAGAACAGGCUGCAGUUGACGAUGAGUAUGUCGAUGGCCUCGGGGGCGAUGCCGGUCUUGGCGAGCAGGUCGUCGAUGGCCGAGAAGGCGACGAGCUCGAACUCGGCGCGGGCGGCGUCGACGGUGCAGUACUUGUGCGUGCCGAUGUAGUGGUGCGCCGGCGGCAGGCAGGUCUCCUCCCCGAGCCCGGAGCGCUCCAGCAGCCGCGUCAUGAACCGGAUGCUGCGCUCGUUUAG
RNAcentral lists this ribosomal RNA (1131 nucleotides) under Triticum aestivum (bread wheat). Its description in RNAcentral is "partial small subunit ribosomal RNA". Lineage: Eukaryota; Viridiplantae; Streptophyta; Magnoliopsida; Poales; Poaceae. The record is from RNAcentral.